GGUUCCUUUAAGUUUAGUCCCGUGAGGCUAAGAAGGGUGUGAGCAAAAGUCAUAUGGUGCGCCAUAUCGAAAGUUGUUCAAUGACGUAGUAUAACUAUAAGUGUAUCUAAGUGUACACUCAGUCUAGACAUUCCUCCUGUCCUCUAUAGGGCAGGAGUUUUUUUGU
Enterococcus villorum ATCC 700913 is the source of this 166-nucleotide non-coding RNA. Lineage: Bacteria; Bacillati; Bacillota; Bacilli; Lactobacillales; Enterococcaceae. The record is from Rfam.